GUCGUAGCAAUGGAUAUCUUGGUUCUCGUCACGAUGAAGAACGCAGCGAAAUGCGAUACGUAAUGCGAAUUGCAGAAUUCAGUGAAUCAUCGAAUCUUUGAACGCAAGUUGCGCCCUUUACCGGGCAUGCCUGUUUGAGUGUCGU
RNAcentral lists this ribosomal RNA (145 nucleotides) under Maullinia braseltonii. RNAcentral's name for it is "5.8S ribosomal RNA". It matches the Rfam family "5.8S ribosomal RNA". Rfam says of the family: 5.8S ribosomal RNA (5.8S rRNA) is a component of the large subunit of the eukaryotic ribosome. The record is from RNAcentral. Lineage: Eukaryota; Endomyxa; Phytomyxea; Phagomyxida; Phagomyxidae.